GAUAAGCGAUAUUCUAGUAUC
RNAcentral lists this microRNA (21 nucleotides) under Spodoptera frugiperda (fall armyworm). RNAcentral's name for it is "sfr-miR-279b-5p". Its record names the gene sfr-miR-279b-5p. Lineage: Eukaryota; Metazoa; Arthropoda; Insecta; Lepidoptera; Noctuidae. The record is from miRBase by way of RNAcentral.